Molecule: ribosomal RNA, 459 nt
Filed under: uncultured bacterium
Lineage: Bacteria
Description: partial 16S ribosomal RNA
Rfam family: Bacterial small subunit ribosomal RNA
Source: RNAcentral
CCUACGGGAGGCAGCAGUGAGGAAUAUUGGUCAAUGGCCGCAGGGCUGAACCAGCCAAGUCGCGUGAGGGAUGACGGUCCUAUGGAUUGUAAACCUCUUUUGUCAGGGAGCAAAGGGCGCCACGUGUGGCGCUUUGCGAGUACCUGAAGAAAAAGCAUCGGCUAACUCCGUGCCAGCAGCCGCGGUAAUACGGAGGAUGCAAGCGUUAUCCGGAUUUAUUGGGUUUAAAGGGUGCGCAGGCGGAAUGUCAAGUCAGCGGUAAAAUUUCGGGGCUCAACCCCGUCGUGCCGUUGAAACUGGCGUUCUUGAGUGAGCGAGAAGUAGGCGGAAUGCGUGGUGUAGCGGUGAAAUGCAUAGAUAUCACGCAGAACUCCGAUUGCGAAGGCAGCAUACCGGCGCUCAACUGACGCUCAUGCACGAAAGCGUGGGUAUCGAACAGGAUUAGAUACCCCGGUAGUC